Carya illinoinensis is the source of this 108-nucleotide small nucleolar RNA. NCBI's taxonomy places the organism in Eukaryota, Viridiplantae, Streptophyta, Magnoliopsida, Fagales, Juglandaceae. The record is from RefSeq and is a predicted model, not a curated record.
UACCCAUGAUAAGGGCAUGUAUUAAGCAAGUCCUUGAAUCUCUCCCAACAUUGAUAAAAAGUCUCAGUGUCUUUUUGGGCAAAAUUCAUGAUUUGUCUUUUUAAUGCG